GUGGCUGAUGAAAAGCCCAAGGAAGGAGUCAAGACUGAGAAUAACAAUCUUAUUAAUUUGAAGGUAAUGGGGCAGGAUUGUUCCAUGGUGCAGUUUAAAAUUAAAAUACCACUUAGUAGAGUAAUGAAAGUCUAUUGUGAAUGACAGAGUUUGUCAGUGAGGCAGAUCAGAUUCUAAUUUGACAGGCAACCAGUCAAUGAAACAGACACACCUGCACAGUUGGAAAUGGAGGAUGAAGAUACAAUUGAUGUGUUUCAGCAACAGACAAGAAGUGUCUACUGA
This 282-nucleotide long non-coding RNA is filed under the name Homo sapiens (human). RNAcentral describes it as "non-protein coding lnc-WDTC1-1:1". The record is from RNAcentral. Lineage: Eukaryota; Metazoa; Chordata; Mammalia; Primates; Hominidae.